Non-coding RNA from Rattus norvegicus (Norway rat), 69 nucleotides. The record is from Rfam. Lineage: Eukaryota; Metazoa; Chordata; Mammalia; Rodentia; Muridae.
GGGGAUUUAGCUCAGUGGUAGAGCGCUUGCCUAGGAAGCGCAAGGCCCUGGGUUCAGUCCCCAGCCCCG